AGAGCCAGUGCAAACAGAAUGAAAGCCACAGAAGCAGUACAUGAAAUGGGUGAAUUGCAGAUUGUCGUUGCUGAGGCAUGUCCAUGACCUUGAAACCCUUCCUGUUGGCCAAAGUGGAGCCAUGAUGUUAAAAGUCAGGACAAUGGAUCUCCUCCAGCUGAAGGCAUGUUGCACUUCAAUGUAAAUCUUACCCUGUUUCUUUAACACAGAAAUCCUUGACAGACAAUGGGAAAAUAAAGUUGAAGGUGUAUAUAGAAAAUUCAA
Molecule: long non-coding RNA, 264 nt
Organism: Hyaena hyaena (striped hyena)
Lineage: Eukaryota; Metazoa; Chordata; Mammalia; Carnivora; Hyaenidae
Exons: 3
Source: RefSeq, a predicted model, not a curated record